CCUCAAGUUGGAGGAGCACAAAUGGUGUUCUUGGCUGAAGGAGACUGUGUGUGACUUGGCAAGAAGGUUGAGUCACCGAACACCCACCUGAACUGAGAAAAAAGCAGGCUCACACACCAGUUGACAAGGGGGCACUCUCAUGAGUUACACCAGUGAAAUUCCACUGACAUAAAGGGAACGAAUGGGAGAGUCAGGCCCAAGGAUUCCCAGCCUUGAAACCAGGAACUACAAUUCCCAGGAUGCAUUGGGGAGGAGGAGAAGAAAGAGGAAAAAGGAAGACUGAGCUCUAUGAAAGUGUGAGGGUAAUAACGUUACCUUUGCUGUUAUCAAGGUUCCUGAAUCCUCCUCAAAUCCUCCUCAAAAUUGGUAUUUCCUUUUUCGUUUAUGGACUAUAACAAUGAACUGGAACAAAUGCACUAGGUUUACAUUAGAGAAUUUCCCUUCCUAAAUUCUCCAAAUGGCCUGCUGAAGCUAGGAACGGACAAAGGUCAAGGGUAUUUUAUAAGAUCAGAACACUUCCCCUGAGUUUCUUUAAGUAAAACAUUUAAUGGAACGUUUUGUGUCUGAAAACAUAGUUCUGCAUGUAAAAGAGAGGGAAUUAAAGGAGAAGUAAAAGAAAACAGUGAAGCCUUAAUUUUAAAAAAUGGGAUGUCAAAAUAAAGGAAGAAGAAACUAGUGGCCAAAUAAGAUGUAUAGAUAUUGUGGGCCUUUUCCUGCUCUGACUCAUGCUGGUUUUACACCUCUAACUCAAUCAGUUUGGUCAGAUGGCAUCCUUUUGUGGGCUGUUGCUUUGCUACUUGUUACAAAGCACAGUACUCUGUAUGUAAUAACUCAUUAAUCAGCACUAACUUGUAAGUCUAUAUUUGUUUUUUAAAAAUGGCCUCAAUAUUUUGGCUACAAUUUGUUGCAUGUGCAAUUGUGCUCUUUGUCCUAACUACCUAAAGGCAUCUACAAAGCAAGCAGUUACCCAUCUAAUGGGUAUAAACAUGCACAUUAUUAUGCCUGCAGUUUUGCACCCAUACUUAAUUAUUACUGAAGGAUAAAAACUGUGCCUGCAAAACUGGAAACUAUGUUGAGGCUUAGCUAAAAACAAGGCAUAUUUUAUCAGACACAGUAUCAAAUACAAUGUUAGGAAUUAUAAAUGGUUUUGGCAUCUUUUGUAUUAGGUUUUAGCUAUUAGUUCAAAUUAUGACCAUACCUACACA
Long non-coding RNA from Chelonia mydas (Green sea turtle), 1205 nucleotides. RefSeq lists it as uncharacterized. Lineage: Eukaryota; Metazoa; Chordata; Testudines; Cheloniidae. The record is from RefSeq and is a predicted model, not a curated record. The transcript is spliced from 4 exons.